This 443-nucleotide ribosomal RNA is filed under the name uncultured Pseudomonas sp. Its description in RNAcentral is "bacterial SSU rRNA". It matches the Rfam family "Bacterial small subunit ribosomal RNA", at positions 936 to 1382 of the family's 1533-position model. The record is from RNAcentral. Lineage: Bacteria; Pseudomonadati; Pseudomonadota; Gammaproteobacteria; Pseudomonadales; Pseudomonadaceae.
AGCAUGUGGUUUAAUUCGAUGAUACGCGAGGAACCUUACCAGGGCUUGACAUACACCGGAACGGGCGUGAAAGCGUCCGGCCCCUCGGGCCGGUGUCAGGUGCUGCAUGGCUGUCGUCAGCUCGUGCUGUGAAGUGUUGGGUUAAGUCCCGCAACGAGCGCAACCCUGCUAUCUGUUGCCAGCAAGUGAUGUUGGGGACUCAGAUGGAACUGCCGGUGACAAACCGGAGGAAGGUGGGGAUGACGUCAAGUCAUCAUGGCCCUUACGGCCUGGGCUACACACGUGCUACAAUGGCCGGUACAAAGGGUUGCCAAGCCGCGAGGUGGAGCUAAUCCCAUAAAACCGAUCGUAGUCCGGAUCGCAGUCUGCAACUCGACUGCGUGAAGUCGGAAUCGCUAGUAAUCGUGAAUCAGAAUGUCACGGUGAAUACGUUCCCGGGCCUU